Molecule: non-coding RNA, 145 nt
Filed under: human gut metagenome
Description: THF riboswitch
Rfam family: THF (Tetrahydrofolate) riboswitch aptamer
About the family: THF riboswitch presents a pseudoknot that joins P1-P2 and the loop of P3 and two THF binding.
Source: RNAcentral
GCAGAGUAGCUGCUGGCGCGUCAAGUGUUCAUGAACGGGGAGUUGUCAUGAAACGAAGGGGGGCUUCGUCCCGCUUUCAUCUGUUCGGAUGGACAGGGGGAAGCGGAGCGUGCCUGCCCGCGGUGCCAGCGGCGCAUCCCGCUGC